UAGUAUUAUUACCAACAUAAGUAUUGGGGUUGUCUACGCUGUUAUGAAAAUGAUUUUAAGAACCAUCAAAAGAGAACAAAACCAUCCGAUUUUGUAAUUGAAUGUUCCAAAAUCAUUGUCUUAUACAUAUACGUGCACUUGCACAAGGUCAAUUUCUAUCUCUAGCAGCUUAAGUUUAUAUAGUGAAGAUGAUAAUGUAUAACAGGUUUUAAUAAAUGAAACAUAGCAUUAUUUUGUUAGUCUUCUUAGAGACAGAUUGAUCUGUAAAACAAGUAAUUAUUUUUUUAUUUUUUUUCAUUUUUAGGUUGUUAUAAUGAUGAUGUUUUCAUGGUGUUGGGAGUAAGACUUGGAUGUCUGAUAUUGUUAACAUGUUGGUUAGCAUCAGGUUUCCAUUGGGUUACUUGCUGGGAUAAAGCUGUUAUAAGUCGAAAGAGUUGCUGUUGCUGCCUUCCUUGUAUGGUAAAAUCCUCAGACUGCAAUCCUGCAAACCAUUGGAUAAACUGUUGCUAUCUUUUGUAAAAAAAUCAGCAGAUAUUUGUCUUAUA
Molecule: long non-coding RNA, 545 nt
Organism: Mytilus californianus (California mussel)
Lineage: Eukaryota; Metazoa; Mollusca; Bivalvia; Mytilida; Mytilidae
Exons: 3
Source: RefSeq, a predicted model, not a curated record